GACGAACGCUGGCGGCGUGCUUAACACAUGCAAGUCGAACGGAAAGGCCCUGCGUUUGUGGGGUGCUCGAGUGGCGAACGGGUGAGUAACACGUGAGUAACCUGCCCUUGACUUUGGGAUAACUUCAGGAAACUGGGGCUAAUACCGGAUAGGAGCUCCUGCUGCAUGGUGGGGGUUGGAAAGUUUCGGCGGUUGGGGAUGGACUCGCGGCUUAUCAGCUUGUUGGUGGGGUAGUGGCUUACCAAGGCUUUGACGGGUAGCCGGCCUGAGAGGGUGACCGGCCACAUUGGGACUGAGAUACGGCCCAGACUCCUACGUGAGGCAGCAGUGGGGAAUAUUGCACAAUGGGCGGAAGCCUGAUGCAGCAACGCCGCGUGCGGGAUGACGGCCUUCGGGUUGUAAACCGCUUUCGCCUGUGACGAAGCGUGAGUGACGGUAAUGGGUAAAGAAGCACCGGCUAACUACGUG
RNAcentral lists this ribosomal RNA (468 nucleotides) under uncultured bacterium. RNAcentral describes it as "partial 16S ribosomal RNA". It matches the Rfam family "Bacterial small subunit ribosomal RNA", at positions 28 to 507 of the family's 1533-position model. The record is from RNAcentral.